CUAAAACCCCAAAAUUUUCCCCUCUUCUUCGCAGUUUAUCAGUAUUAAAAAUUUAAUACUCGCAUUUCGCUUCUUCACCCUUUUCAAGGUCAUUUCUUUCGCCUCUUCUUUCUUUUUCUCGGAUCUUCUUUCUCCCUCUCAGCAAAGAUCUCUGAUUUUUUCUGUCUCCUUUUCGUUCGCUCUCUGGUAAUUUCAUCUUCUCUUUUUGUAAUUUAAUUUGUUCUAUGCUGAUUCAUAUAUCGUUACUGUUACUUGUCUCGCUUUCUUUCUUUUAUUUUCUGUUUUUGAAUGAUUAUCAGCUUGGUUGCUGAGAAAAUAGAGGCUGGAAAUAGGCUUGUCGAACCCCCGUCGUCAGUCGCUGAGCUUAUCCCUUUCCUAGACGUAAUCCCUAAUCCAUCAUUUUACUAUUUUUCCUUAACUUCGUUUUGCUCUUCGUUAAUUUUUUUCCUUAUAAUUUGAUUUGUCUGAUUUUAUUAUGUAUGCGUUUUCGAAAUUUUUAGUGUGAUUCUUUCUGUGCAAUUAAUUUAGUUAGAUUUCACCCAUACUGAUUUUAUUGUCUUAAUUGACAGUGAAGUAUAUUAUCUAAUUGGAUAAAAAGGUUAACUGGGUUCAGCUUAAAAUAUUAGUGUUGGAGUUGUGUCUAAUUUCCCAUAUGAAAAUCACCAAUAGAUUACUAUUAUGAGAAUGGUAAGUUUCUCUUUUAAUUUGUUUGAUGAUUUUUUCUGUUUUAAAGUCAUGUUCUUAUGUACGUUUUGGCAAUGUUGUGCAGGUUGAUGAAGAACCUGCAAUUAGAACAAAUACCACCAUAUUAUUGGGAAACAUUGCAAGCUACCUAAAUGAAGGGGUUAGUUGUUUCUUGGCUAAUCCUUCUUGAAUAUUUGUUUUGAUUCAGUCAAUAGUGAAGGCAUAUCAAACAUUAUUAAGAUGGUUCACAUGGAAUCAAUGACCUUGAAAACUUUUAUGUUACAAUUUGUUUUCUUGUAAGGUGCAUUAAUUUUUAAGCAGCUAGCUUAAAUAGUUAAAUGAUUUAUAAAGGCAUGUCCAGAAUUUUUUUAUAGCCACUUGAUGGAUAAUGUCAGUUCUCUUUUCCCAGGAUGUAAUUUUGGUUUUUGACUGCUAAAAUUCUAACCUUGCAGAUGGGCCAUGAGUUCCUUAACUCUUAAAGGCAAAGCUAAUCAAGCUCCAGGCUUGGCAAAUAUUCAGGCAGCUCAGAAGCGUCCUGUUUCGCAACCAGUUUGACAGCCUAAACCACAAGGUAGUAUUCUGAACAUCCCUACAAUAGAAUAGUAUGAAAUUUUAAUGAAAGUCGUGAAUUUCACAGCCUCUUUGAAUCUUCGGUACUUUUUCACCUUUGGUUUGGGAAGCAAUAUUUGGGAAGAAAACCUCUCAGAAAACAUUCUAAGUUUUUUCUUUUUUUUUUUUGUUAGGCUUCUAAAAUUUGUAAGUCUCUUUGUCCUACCCCUUUUCUCUUGGCUUACUGUUAUUUAAUUACAUAUAUUAUAUGGAAGAUUCUUAGAAUUUAUGAUUGGAUGUUACCUCUUCUUUUUUUCUUUAUACAACUUCUCAUGUUUGUAUUUUGCUGCCUGAAUGUGCUGGUUGGUAUGUUUUUGAACUGUUACGUGCAUGAUAGAUCAAUACAAUUAGCGGUGGUGCCAUUUUUUUCUUACUUGAGUAGCUCCUACACAAAACUGAUGCUAGCGGUGGUGCCAUUUUUUUCUUACUUGAGUAGCUCCUACACAAAACUGAUGCUAUGUUGUGUCAUUACUAAAAUUAGAUCAGAAUAUAUGUGGCAAAAUGAUUUGAUAAAUGAGUUAGCCUUAAACUGGAAGAAGAUAAAAUAAAAAGGAAAGGGGAACAUGGAAAUCGUCAUGAUUUGUUUUUGGCUAUUUUAGCAUGUAAUAGACAGAGCUAUAUUUUUAGAAUUUUAAGUCAAAUUUUAGCAUGUGCGUCUGUAUAAAAAAUUUAUAUAUGUAAGUCAAAUUUUAAGAGAUUAUGAAAUCAGUAAAAUAUUUGGUGAAGAACGGAAAAUCGUAACAAAUGUAACAAAAUCAUAGUUGAUCCCAAGCUGUUAAACUUUUAUAAGUAGGCAUAAACUCUUCACUGAGUUUCUCUUGAGUUGCAUACUUAAACUCUCCCUUACAGAAGUUUUGGAUAACUCUUACUUUCUCCAAAAGAGUUUCCAUUGAAAGAGUGGUGGGGUCCUACAAAUGGAGGAGUUAUCGGUUGGCCACCCUGUUGGGUAGCACUGACAAGGACCAUNN
RNAcentral lists this long non-coding RNA (2261 nucleotides) under Gossypium raimondii (Peruvian cotton). RNAcentral's name for it is "long non-coding RNA (GRAI_LNC011239)". Lineage: Eukaryota; Viridiplantae; Streptophyta; Magnoliopsida; Malvales; Malvaceae. The record is from RNAcentral.